GGGGGGGCGGCCGCCUCCUCCCCCUCCUCCUCUUCGUCCUUCCGCCUCCGCCGGCGUACGAGAACGCAACAUUGUCCAGGUGUGUAUUCGCAACGGCGGAGCACGGACAGACCGUAGGAUUGAACCCGCAGACCGACGAUUGCUUGCUUCGCAGGGGUGGAAGGCUCACUUUUUCGUAUCGUUACCGAGCCCCCUUUUACAGACACAGAGCAGAGAACCGUCACCCGACGAAAUUUGCGGUUCCGGAUACACCGACCGCAAAAUCGACCCGUCCCCGGAGUCGCUGAAUUUUAAAACUCGAUUAUGAAGAAAAUUGAAAAUUAUCACCCACCGCCCCGAUCGCGGCAUCUCUCCGAG
This 357-nucleotide unclassified non-coding RNA is filed under the name Athalia rosae (coleseed sawfly). Its description in RNAcentral is "misc RNA ENSAEAG00005007825.1". The record is from RNAcentral. Lineage: Eukaryota; Metazoa; Arthropoda; Insecta; Hymenoptera; Athaliidae.